AGCCUACGGGGGGCAGCAGUGGGGAAUAUUGCACAAUGGGGGAAACCCUGAUGCAGCAACGCCGCGUGAGUGAAGAAGUAUUUCGGUAUGUAAAGCUCUAUCAGCAGGGAAGAAGAAAGACGGUACCUGACUAAGAAGCCCCGGCUAACUACGUGCCAGCAGCCGCGGUAAUACGUAGGGGGCAAGCGUUAUCCGGAUUUACUGGGUGUAAAGGGAGCGUAGACGGCAUAGCAAGUCUGAAGUGAAAGCCCGUGG
Molecule: ribosomal RNA, 255 nt
Filed under: uncultured bacterium
Lineage: Bacteria
Description: partial 16S ribosomal RNA
Rfam family: Bacterial small subunit ribosomal RNA
Source: RNAcentral